UUGCCAGCCGCCGCGGUAAAACGUAGGUAGAGAGAGUGGUAAGGAUUCACUGGGUGUAAAGGGCGCGUAGGUGGUUGUCUGUGUCUCAUGUGAAAACUCAGGGCUCAACUCUGAGAUGGCGUGGGAAACUAGGCAGCUAGAGGACGGUAGAGGGGAGUGGAAUUCCCGGUGUAGCGGUAAAAUGCGUAGAUAUCGGGAGGAACACCGGUGGCGAAGGCGGCUCUCUGGGCCGAUCCUGACGCUGAGGCGCGAAAGCUAGGGGAGCGAACCGGAUUAGAUACCCGGGUAGUCCUAGCCGUAAACGAUGGGUGCUAGGUGUUGGGGGGUAAAGACCCUUCAGUGCCGAAGCAAACGCGAUAAGCAUCCCACCUGGGGAGUACGGCCGCAAGGUUGAAACUUAAAUGAAUUGGCGG
This 413-nucleotide ribosomal RNA is filed under the name uncultured bacterium. RNAcentral's name for it is "bacterial SSU rRNA". It matches the Rfam family "Bacterial small subunit ribosomal RNA", at positions 505 to 916 of the family's 1533-position model. The record is from RNAcentral.